ACGUAGGGGGCAAGCGUUAUCCGGAUUUACUGGGUGUAAAGGGAGCGUAGACGGUUUUGCAAGUCUGAAGUGAAAACCCGGGGCUUAACCCCGGGACUGCUUUGGAAACUGUAGAACUAGAGUGCAGGAGAGGUAAGUGGAAUUCCUAGUGUAGCGGUGAAAUGCGUAGAUAUUAGGAGGAACACCAGUGGCGAAGGCGGCUUACUGGACUGUAACUGACGUUGAGGCUCGAAAGCGUGGGGAGCAAACAG
This 251-nucleotide ribosomal RNA is filed under the name uncultured bacterium. RNAcentral's name for it is "partial 16S ribosomal RNA". It matches the Rfam family "Bacterial small subunit ribosomal RNA", at positions 525 to 775 of the family's 1533-position model. The record is from RNAcentral.